GGUAUUGUCUUCCAGGAGGAGAACUGGUUUUAGGAGAAAGAAAACGAGUUUGAUUUGGGAUACUUUGAGUUUUAUGAUGCCUGAGGGACAUACAUGUGGAGUUAUCACUAAGACGUUUGAAAGGAAAGGAUGCAUAUCUUCUUCAGAUUCUUAAAGGAGUUCAUGACUCUGAAAAGAUCAAGAACCACUAGUGUCAAGUAUAAAAGGAAAAGAGCCAAGGGCACCCAGUUCACUGUGGAAGAGGGAUGGUGAGAGAGAAUGCUUGUAUAUUUCCCAACUGUGAAGAGAAUGCUUUAUGAGGUGUGUGUUGCUGGUUUGCAGAAAUGGCUGUUUUUUGUCAUCACUUGCUGGGCUAGAUCAGGUCCUCUUCUAUGACUUUUUAAAGACCUCUGUUCACACAGCUGCUUUGGCAAGUCAGGAAUCAAACUGACAGCCCAUUGGAAAGGCAUACCCUGUCACAAGUCUAAAGAGAAACAGAGUGACAGUUCCCAGGCUCAAGUGCAAGGCGCGCCGCUCAAUCUUCUUUGGCUGGCUAGGAUCUUGGUUGAUGCAGGGCGCCGAUGCCAGACAGCAGAGGGCCUGGAGUAACAAAAACAACGCCCCGCAAGUGUGAUAUGGAUCAAUGUUGGGCUCUGCUCCACGUCGUCACUCAGGGAGCCUGGCUUAUUCCCUUGUGUCACUCCACUAUCUUCUGGGACUUUGUUUCCCUCUGCAUUCAGCUACACAUAUGGGGAAAGUGAGAAAAUGUGGAGAAAGCAUACCCACUCUUAACUGCAUUCCCCGGAGGUGAUGCAGGUCACUUCUAUUUACAUUUCAUUGGCUGGAACUCAGUCCAGUGAUUCCUUCUAACUGCGGGGGAGGCUGGGAAAUGUAGUUUGGUGGUGGGACCAGAAGAAGCAGAGAGCUCUCUGCCACAAUGUGCAAUCAUUUUCAAAUAAAUAUAAAGAAAUAAAAUGGGCUUGAUGCUAAAAACAAUAUAAAACAUAUUUAAUAUUUACAUUCUUACAGUGCAUACUGUUAUGAAUAUCAAGUCUGUUUGUACCAUAGAUUGAUUCAUUUACUUAUUCAACAGAUAUUUAUUGAGUGCCCACUAUGUGCCACUUUGCUAGACACUGG
This 1116-nucleotide long non-coding RNA is filed under the name Equus asinus (donkey). RNAcentral's name for it is "lncRNA (ENSEASG00005031058.1)". Lineage: Eukaryota; Metazoa; Chordata; Mammalia; Perissodactyla; Equidae. The record is from RNAcentral.